UACGUAGGGGGCAAGCGUUAUCCGGAUUUACUGGGUGUAAAGGGAGCGUAGACGGCAUGGCAAGCCAGAUGUGAAAUACCGGGGCUCAACCCCGGGACUGCAUUUGGAACUGUUAAGCUGGAGUGUCGGAGAGGCAGGCGGAAUUCCUAGUGUAGCGGUGAAAUGCGUAGAUAUUAGGAGGAACACCAGUGGCGAAGGCGGCCUGCUGGACAGUAACUGACGUUGAGGCUCGAAAGCGUGGGGAGCAAACAGG
Molecule: ribosomal RNA, 253 nt
Filed under: uncultured bacterium
Lineage: Bacteria
Description: partial 16S ribosomal RNA
Rfam family: Bacterial small subunit ribosomal RNA
Source: RNAcentral